GAGCGUUUCGCUUGCUGUGUGGUACCUCGCCGCUUCGACAUCCGUUGCAUUGGAAACAACGGAAUUCAAAGUCACAUACUCGCAGGUGGAUAUAUGAUGUGACGGACGCACACAGACAUUCGAGGUUUCACACAGGGACGUUGCACGGACGCCGGCUGUGAUCGUGAUGCAUUUAUUAGAGAAACUGGUGAAAAUGGACAUGCACUGGAAGUAGCAUGCUGUUAUUGUCACCAUGCACGAGCCAAGCAUGCAGCAAUGAGUGAAACAGGUAACCCAUAGCGCAGCUCCACUGGUUCCAAAUUUGAUGGACACAGCCAUGAGUUACCUGGCAGUAUUGUGGCAGAGGGUAUCUUGUGCCACAGAAGUACAUACGAACAGUCCAGCAGAAAUACAGCAGCAGCCCAAUCCCAGUCUAUAACUCUGCAGAGGCUCAGAGAGAUAGCAGCAAACCAGGUCCUUCCCACAACUCUCCGCAAACCCAGCCAGCCAGCCAUGUACGAACCUAUAUUUGCCAACAUUGUAGAUUGUCGACUAGGUAUUUCCAGUGCUUUUGUGACCACGUUGUUCAGUGUGUUGGGUGUGGCUUUCUCCCUUCUUGUGAUACUUGUGGAACAACGUUUGAAACCAUCUAAAGAUACAUACAUCAUUUGAAUUUUUGUAUUUAGUUAAGCACACGAGUACAGGAUGACAUAACGUGACAGGAUGAGCCAGCCAACACAAUGUAUAGGUGAGCUACUUGAGCAGAUGGAAAGAACAGAUCAAAGUUCGAAGAAUAAUCUGAAAAAAAAAAAAAAAGGCUAUUUAAGCCAUAACCCAGAGGGCCACCACAUGUGCUCCAAGGUGGUUGUCGAUUGCGUUGUAAGCAGCAUAGAAGA
Molecule: long non-coding RNA, 875 nt
Organism: Ornithodoros turicata
Lineage: Eukaryota; Metazoa; Arthropoda; Arachnida; Ixodida; Argasidae
Exons: 4
Source: RefSeq, a predicted model, not a curated record